UAAUACGUAUGGGGCGAGCGUUGUUCGGAAUUAUUGGGCGUAAAGGGCGUGUAGGCGGUUUAUCAAGCCUGGUGUUAAAAUGCACAGCUUAACUGUGUAGGUGCGCUGGGAACUGGUAGGCUUGAGUUUAGGAAGGGAAGCUGGAAUUCCUGGUGUAGGGGUGAGAUCUGUAGAUAUCAGGAAGAACACCGGUGGCGAAGGCGAGCUUCUAGCCAUAGACUGACGCUGAGGCGCGAAAGCGUGGGGAGCGAACAGGAUUAGAUACCCUGGUAGUCCACGCUGUAAACGAUGUGCACUAGGUGUAGGUGAUGUGAUAGUCAUCUGUGCCGCAGCAAACGCGAUAAGUGCACCGCCUGGGGAGUAUGCCCGCAAGGGUG
This 377-nucleotide ribosomal RNA is filed under the name uncultured bacterium. RNAcentral describes it as "bacterial SSU rRNA". It matches the Rfam family "Bacterial small subunit ribosomal RNA", at positions 521 to 896 of the family's 1533-position model. The record is from RNAcentral.